ACAUUGAUGUCCUGACAUUAGUCUAUAAAAUGUUUAGCCUGGUGUCAACAAACGUGCAACGAUUCAAUCUGCUUCACCCUUGUGGUUCUGAACUUGCAGGGCGUCUUUGUUCUUGAACGGUGCGGAAUUUUUUUUUCUAGAGACAACAAGGUGCUCUUUUUUUCUUUCGAGUUUGAAAUGAAAAAAGGAAAACGUUUGGGGCCGGGGCACCGGCGGAACAUUGGGCCGGUCCCAUGCGCAGCGUUCGAUCCCACCACAAUCGUACGCCCCGUGACUCCACCGCAGGCCCAGCUUUUUUUCUCUGUCUUAUCUUCUUCUUUCCACCUCCCUCCCUUAUCCUCUUCCUCCCUUCACCCCGAUCCCCUCCACAUCUCUCUCUCUCUCUUUCUCCCAGCGAGAGAAAUCCCCCUCCAUGAGAUUUAGCACCGGCUGCUGCUACUUGGAGCCAGCCAUGGCCACUCACCGAAUCCCCUCGCCUCUCCCAUCCUUGUUGUUUUUGCCGCAAAAAAGAGUGAGAGGAGUUCCCAUGGCGGCUGCACCACGUCGACAGUGGGCUGCAUCGACGGGAUUCAACGGCGAUUGCAUCGAGCAGCUCCUGCGGUGCUACACCCAGCGGUUAGAAAUGUUUCCAGAUGCUGGAACCAUGGCGGCAAAUCCCAACGGGCCCUUGCCGCCGGCGACAACUUUAUUUUUGUUGGAACCACUGUGUGUUUUUGCUGGAACUAGCUAUUUUUUUGCUACAAUCGUCACUGGGAGCUUUUUCCUGCUAACUUUGUUUUUGCUGAAAUCGGCUUUUGUUUUUGCUGGAACCUAGUAAUUUUUUGCUUCAACCGACCAACUAAAGAUUUUUGUUGCUUGGCACUCCGACCCGCGGCGAGCCGGAGGCGAUGAUGCUAUUGAUGUUGCAACCGUAGUCACCUUGGACUGGAACCGACAGGUGUCAGAGUUGCAACCAUGGUGACCAUGGCGAGCGCUACUCUGCUUUUCUACUGCAUUUUUGGUGAUGAUGAUUUUGCUACAACCUUUUUGCGGCGGCGAGGGGCGGAAACUGGCGGCAAGGGCGGGGACCGGCAAGACCGGAGCGCCUGCUGCAGGCCAUGGCGGCAGCGCUUUGUUCCCACGAGAAUGGAGGAACCGAGAUCGAAAGCGGAGCGCGAGGAAGGAGGAACCGAGAUCGAUAGCGGAGCGGGAUGCACUUUUUUUUUAUUGCGAGACCCAGAUCGAACGGGUGAAAUAUGCUGAAUCGGACGCUCGCGCGUUGACCGGCUCAGCUAUUCGGCCGGUGCGCCGGCGCCUAUCAGCGCCCAUGAAAAAAAGGUACCACUGCAACAACGAAACCAGUCACAGAUUCAGUA
This is a long non-coding RNA of Triticum aestivum (bread wheat), 1355 nucleotides long. RefSeq lists it as uncharacterized. The transcript has 2 exons. The record is from RefSeq and is a predicted model, not a curated record. NCBI's taxonomy places the organism in Eukaryota, Viridiplantae, Streptophyta, Magnoliopsida, Poales, Poaceae.